CCACCCCUGCUCUCUGCACCCACGCCUCCCGCUGGGCUCCGUGGGCGCCCAGGUGACAGCCCUGGAGGAGGUGGAGAAGGGGCGGGGAACCUAGAAGGAAAACGGAUUCAGAGGGCGUGAGCUGGGACGAGUGGGCUCGGCGUCCUAGGCCCCGCCCAGGCCGGGUGGGACCCUUUCCACCCGCCCGGACCUAUCCUGCCUAUCCUGCCUGGCUGAGCCAGACGACGUGUACCGGCAGCCUUAAGAAGUUUGCAUCCAUAAGAAGGGACAAGGGUGACAUCAGAGGCAGAUCUGGGACGCGGUCACGACUGAGGACGUUCCGGAGUAGGGAAGAGGGGUCGCUUCUCCAAGGACUCCUGCUUCAGGUUCAAGAGGACUUCCAGGAAGAGGGUGGAGUGGUGAGCCGCAGAGAAAGGACCUCUCUGGGAUCUGGUGUCCCAACAUUGGAACACAGUGGUGUAAGAAGAAGAAGCAGAGAAGUGGUUCCAGGGACCCAGGAAGGAUCCGAAGCGAGAACUGAAGUCCAUGGGGAGGCAAGAGAGAGACUUCAGUGAAGAGGGAGGUGGCAGGCAGUGCUUUGUCCCAGAGUCCGGAUGCACAGCCCGGGAACAGCGGGUCUAACUUCAAAUGCCCAGUGACUACUGGUGCCCCAGAGGCCUCCAUGGAGAGAGGCACCAGUGGAACAGAGCAGUGGAUGCGACAGACUGCAGUGGCUGGUGCAGUUCGGGUUCAGAUGUCAUCCGGGACAGAGCGAUUGACUGGUAGCCAUCUUGGAGAGGGGCCAUUUUAGCUCAGAACCUAGAAAAAAACAGCUGACUCCAUCUAGUGGCUCCUGGUGUCUCUGUGCAAGUGCAGAGUUCAAAUCAGCAUGAAGUCAGGGAGUGGAGUUCAAGCCGGCAGGAGGCACAUGGCCUGUGGCAGGCUUAACAAAUCAGGUUCCUGCCUCACAGCCAGAAACCAGCCUGAACCUCAGUGGAAUUAUAGAUCCAGGCUUACAGGGAAUAUCUACAGCCCCACCAUGAGUCAGUCGCUGGCUUACUGGGAUUAAUCAACUUGGAUCUGGACUCCGUCUGCCCAUAUUGUCUACCCAGUGACAGUAGAGACACACACCUUCAACUGGACUUCUUUUCUUUUUUCCCUUUUUUCUUUUCUUUUCCUCUUUCCUGGUCAUUGUUCUUGUUUUAUUUUUUCUUAAACGUUUGUUCUUGUUUUGACAUGAGUGUGAACGUGGUUUCUAGUUUUUUGUUGUGGUUAUUCUGUUCUUGCUUUUAUUUUUUCCUUCUCUCUUUCCCUCCUGUCCUCUUCACUAGUUUCCCAAAGUUUGUAUGACCUUCCUAUGUGCGCCAGCCUUGCUUCUAAACUCCUCUUUUUCUCUAUGUUUUUCCCUAAAUCUCCCCUUAGGGCAAAAUCACCAUUUGAGAACUUAUUUAUUGCAUAUAAUUUUCUGGCUCAUUCUGGAUUUUUUUAUAUAGCCACAAAUCUAGAUCAGAUGGGUAAAAGUGGCAAAUUAAUAGUUACCACAGUUUGUCAU
Fukomys damarensis (Damara mole-rat) is the source of this 1531-nucleotide long non-coding RNA. RefSeq lists it as uncharacterized. The transcript has 3 exons. Lineage: Eukaryota; Metazoa; Chordata; Mammalia; Rodentia; Bathyergidae. The record is from RefSeq and is a predicted model, not a curated record.